CCUACGGGAGGCAGCAGUGAGGAAUAUUGGUCAAUGGGCGCGAGCCUGAACCAGCCAAGUCGCGUGAGGGAUGAAUGUCCUACGUAUCGUAAACCUCUUUUAUAAGGGAAUAAAGUGAGGGACGUGUCCCCUUUUGUAUGUACCUUAUGAAUAAGCAUCGGCUAACUCCGUGCCAGCAGCCGCGGUAAUACGGAGGAUCCGAGCGUUAUCCGGAUUUAUUGGGUUUAAAGGGUGCGUAGGCGGGCUGUUAAGUUAGCGGUGAAAGGCCCGGGCUGAACCCGGGAACUGCCGUUAAUACUGGUAGGCUAGAGUGUGAGUGAGGUAGGCGGAAUGUGUGGUGUAGCGGUGAAAUGCUUAGAGAUCGUGCAGAACCCCGAUUGCGAAGGCAGCAUGCC
Molecule: ribosomal RNA, 395 nt
Filed under: uncultured bacterium
Lineage: Bacteria
Description: partial 16S ribosomal RNA
Rfam family: Bacterial small subunit ribosomal RNA
Source: RNAcentral